AUCCAGUUGACGAGUCCUAGAUAGGACGAAAUGCGCUUUAUCCUGGAU
Molecule: non-coding RNA, 48 nt
Filed under: Trichobilharzia regenti
Lineage: Eukaryota; Metazoa; Platyhelminthes; Trematoda; Strigeidida; Schistosomatidae
Source: RNAcentral